RNAcentral lists this long non-coding RNA (292 nucleotides) under Sorghum bicolor (sorghum). Its description in RNAcentral is "long non-coding RNA (SBIC_LNC009740)". The record is from RNAcentral. Lineage: Eukaryota; Viridiplantae; Streptophyta; Magnoliopsida; Poales; Poaceae.
CCCUCCACGCCGUGCCCUCUUCCGAGAUCUCCACCAACGGCGAGUGCGCGUCCAGGUCUCCACCAUCAGCGAACCUCUACACUAGCCUCGGUCUCAGCCCUGGCCAUGGCGGUGGGCGCUGCGUGGGCAUGACCUCGACCUCAGCGUGAGGGGGUAACCGCGCUAAACGGGAGAAGCCCGUGACGGCGAUCGUGGCGAGCGCAACUCCGGUCAGCCGUGACACAACUCCUGACCCUCCCUCCCAGGCAGCACGACCGCAGCAUCUACGAAGUCUCCCAAGUCCAUUACCGGC